UGGCGGACGGGUGAGUAAUGUCUGGGAAACUGCCCGAUGGAGGGGGAUAACUACUGGAAACGGUAGCUAAUACCGCAUAACGUCGCAAGACCAAAGAGGGGGACCUUCGGGCCUCUUGCCAUCGGAUGUGCCCAUAUGGGAUUAGCUUGUAGGUAAGGUAACGGCUUACCUAGGCGACGAUCCCUAGCUGGUCUGAGAGGAUGAUCAGCCACACUGGGACUGAGACACGGCCCAG
This 235-nucleotide ribosomal RNA is filed under the name uncultured bacterium. Its description in RNAcentral is "partial 16S ribosomal RNA". It matches the Rfam family "Bacterial small subunit ribosomal RNA", at positions 96 to 334 of the family's 1533-position model. The record is from RNAcentral.